UUGCAGGCUCUGGAAAGGAAGCCUUGUGAGGAUCAGCUGAGGUCACUUGGUCUGUCCAGCCAGGAGAAGAGACUGAGCACGGACC
Molecule: non-coding RNA, 85 nt
Organism: Sturnus vulgaris (Common starling)
Lineage: Eukaryota; Metazoa; Chordata; Aves; Passeriformes; Sturnidae
Source: RefSeq, a predicted model, not a curated record